GGCAGCCGCGGUAAUUCCAGCUCCAAUAGCGUAUAUUAAAGUUGCUGCAGUUAAAAAGCUCGUAGUUGAAUUUCGGGAUCAAUAUGUUGGUCGUGCCUUGGUACGUACUAGCCCAUUGGUUUCUCCCUUCUGACGAACCAUGAUGUCAUUAAUUUGAUGUCAUGGGGAAUCAGGACUGUUACUUUGAAAAAAUUAGAGUGUUUAAAGCAGGCUCGCGCUUGAAUACAUUAGCAUGGAAUAAUGAAAUAGGACAUUUGAUUCUAUUUUGUUGGUUUCUAGGAUCGAUGUAAUGAUUAAUAGGGAUAGUUGGGGGCAUUAGUAUUCAAUUGUCAGAGGUGAAAUUCUUGGAUUUAUUGAAGACUAACUACUGCGAAAGCAUUUGCCAAGGAUGUUUUCAUUAAUCAAGAACGAAAGUUAGGGGAUCGAAGACGAUCAGAUACCGUCGUAGUCUUAACCAUAAACUAUGCCGACUAGGGAUCGGAUGAUGUUAAUUUUUUAAUGACUCAUUCGGCGCCUUACG
This 520-nucleotide ribosomal RNA is filed under the name uncultured Glomus. RNAcentral's name for it is "SSU rRNA". It matches the Rfam family "Eukaryotic small subunit ribosomal RNA", at positions 569 to 1092 of the family's 1831-position model. Lineage: Eukaryota; Fungi; Glomeromycota; Glomeromycetes; Glomerales; Glomeraceae. The record is from RNAcentral.